This is an RNA transcript of Mandrillus leucophaeus (drill), 1688 nucleotides long. It is a transcript of the gene named zinc finger protein 331 pseudogene, with no coding region annotated. Lineage: Eukaryota; Metazoa; Chordata; Mammalia; Primates; Cercopithecidae. The record is from RefSeq and is a predicted model, not a curated record. The transcript has a single exon.
CCAGAUUUGGAGUCAGCAUAUGAGAAUAAGAGUUUAGCUACAGAAAAAAACAUUCAUGAACUAAGGGCUUCCAAAAGGAAUUCAGAUAGAAGAAGUAAAUCCCUUGGCCGUAACUGGAUAUGCGAAGGUACGCUUGAAAGACCGCAGCGCUCGAGAGGGAGGUAUGUCAAUCAAAUGAUCAUCAAUUAUGUAAAAAGGCCUGCUACUAGAGAAGGUACCCCUCCUAGACCACAUCAGAGACAUCAUAAGGAGAAUUCCUUUGAAUGUAAGGAGUGUGGGAAGGCCUUUAGUCGUGGCUAUCAACUUAGUCAACAUCAGAAAAUCCAUACUGGCGAGAAACCUUAUGAAUGUAAAGAAUGUAAGAAGGCCUUCCGUUGGGGCAAUCAGCUUACUCAACAUCAAAAAAUUCAUACUGGGGAGAAGCCGUACGAGUGUAAAGACUGUGGGAAGGCUUUUCGAUGGGGUUCAAGCCUCGUUAUUCAUAAGAGAAUUCAUACUGGUGAAAAACCCUAUGAAUGUAAAGACUGUGGAAAGGCCUUUCGGCGUGGUGAUGAGCUCACUCAGCACCAGAGAUUCCACACUGGGGAGAAAGACUACGAAUGCAAAGACUGUGGGAAGACCUUCAGCCGUGUGUAUAAACUUAUUCAGCACAAGAGAAUUCAUAGUGGGGAGAAGCCUUACGAGUGUAAAGACUGUGGGAAGGCCUUUAUUUGUGGUUCAAGCCUCAUUCAGCAUAAAAGAAUUCACACAGGUGAGAAACCCUACGAAUGUCAAGAGUGCGGGAAGGCCUUCACUCGAGUCAAUUACCUCACUCAGCAUCAGAAGAUCCACACCGGUGAGAAGCCUCACGAGUGUAAGGAAUGUGGGAAGGCCUUUCGCUGGGGUUCGAGCCUCGUGAAGCACGAGAGGAUACACACGGGCGAGAAGCCGUACAAAUGCACAGAGUGCGGGAAGGCCUUCAACUGCGGCUACCACCUCACUCAGCACGAGAGAAUCCACACGGGCGAGACCCCGUACAAAUGUAAGGAGUGUGGGAAGGCUUUCAUUUAUGGGUCCAGCCUUGUGAAACACGAGAGAAUUCAUACCGGGGUGAAACCCUACGGGUGUACAGAAUGUGGGAAGAGCUUUAGUCAUGGCCAUCAGCUUACACAACAUCAGAAAACGCACAGCGGGCCGAAAUCCUACGAAUGUAAGGAAUGCGGGAAGGCAUGUACCCACCCAAACCAUCUCCGAGAACAUCAGAGGAUCCACAACAGUUGAAGAGCCUCUUGAACACCGUAGCCCACUCGUAUCUGUGGUUUCGCUUUCCACAGUUGGUUAUCUGCAGUCCACUGCAGUUCAAAAAUAUUAAAUGGAAAAUUCCAGAAAUAACGAAUGCAUAAGUCUCAAAUGGUGUGCCCUUCCGAGUAGCGUGAUGAAAUCUCUCUGUCCGGCUCCAACCGGCCAGGGCUGUGAAUCGUCCCUUGGUCCAGCACAAUCACGCUGUCUACGCUACCCACCCUGCUCGUCACUUAGUAGCCGUCUUGGUGAUCAGACUGACUGUCAUAGCAUCACAGUGCUUGUGCUCAAGCAGUCUCUGCUUUGCUUAACAGCGGCCCCAGAGCAAGAGUAGUGAUGCCAGUGAUUCGGAUAUGCCAAAGAGAAGCCACAAAGUGCUUCCUUUUAAGUGAAAUGGUGAAAGUUCUCAA